RNAcentral lists this long non-coding RNA (212 nucleotides) under Nicotiana benthamiana. RNAcentral's name for it is "long non-coding RNA (NBEN_LNC000563)". Lineage: Eukaryota; Viridiplantae; Streptophyta; Magnoliopsida; Solanales; Solanaceae. The record is from RNAcentral.
AACCACCUCAGCCUCGCUUCUCGCAUCUUCUAAUCCACCGGGGCCACCCCCACCUUCUCUCAAAUAACUUCGUUCUUAAUCUUAUCUAGCCUGGUGAUCCCGCACAUCCACCUGAGCAUCCUCAUCUCUGCAACCUUCAUUCUCUGAACAUGACAGUUCUUCACUGUCCAGCACUCCGCCCCAUACAACAUUGCAGGUCUAACCACAGCUCU